AGGACAACACAUUUCUUUGGUGACAAUGGAGACUGCUGCGUUCUACAUGGCACGGACUGUCGACAGACCAAAACGUCUUGUAUCCAAAACAGCGCAGCCCUUGCAACACGCUGCCAAAAAACGGGGGUCUGCUAAGCCAGCUAGCACGCCUGCAAAAUCCAAAGUGCGCCUUGUAAGGAAGAAAUCGGCUGUGACAGUGGCAACAGCCGGCGGCAGAACAGGCUGCUCUGGGCUUUACAAGGAAGA
This is a long non-coding RNA of Neoarius graeffei (lesser salmon catfish), 246 nucleotides long. RefSeq lists it as uncharacterized. The record is from RefSeq and is a predicted model, not a curated record. The transcript is spliced from 3 exons. Lineage: Eukaryota; Metazoa; Chordata; Actinopteri; Siluriformes; Ariidae.